CAUGCGAAGUCUGAUUCUCAGAGAAGUGGCCUGCCCAGCUAGGGAACUCUCUAAUAUUCUCUGCUUAUGAUCCAUUCAGGUUCUGGAACUCUGAACCUUGGCUGUCAUGUUCCAACAGCAAAUGCGUUUACACACCAAACAACUUCCACUGCUCUUCUACUGCUUAUUGAAUGGGAUCCCUAGAGUCUGAUGUCUGGGACAGAAAACUCAUUUUUCAAGGGUAAUGCAGGAACAAAGAAUGGAGCAGAGACUGAAGGAAAGACCAUCCAAAGACUGCCUCACCUAGGCAUCCAUCCUAUCUGAAGACAUCAAACCCAUACACUCUUCCUGAUGCCAAGAAAUGCUAGC
This 348-nucleotide small RNA is filed under the name Rattus norvegicus (Norway rat). RNAcentral's name for it is "uncharacterized LOC102552412". The record is from RNAcentral. Lineage: Eukaryota; Metazoa; Chordata; Mammalia; Rodentia; Muridae.